UACGUAGGGGGCAAGCGUUGUCCGGAUUUAUUGGGCGUAAAGAGCGUGUAGGCGGCCAGGUAGGUCAGCUGUGAAAACUCGAGGCUCAACCUCGAGACGCCGGUUGAAACCAUCUGGCUAGAGUCCGGAAGAGGAGAGUGGAAUUCCUGGUGUAGCGGUGAAAUGCGCAGAUAUCAGGAGGAACACCAAUUGCGAAGGCAGCUCGCUGGGACGUAACUGACGCUGAGACGCGAAAGCGUGGGGAGCAAACAGG
Molecule: ribosomal RNA, 253 nt
Filed under: uncultured bacterium
Lineage: Bacteria
Description: partial 16S ribosomal RNA
Rfam family: Bacterial small subunit ribosomal RNA
Source: RNAcentral